RNAcentral lists this ribosomal RNA (600 nucleotides) under Pestalotiopsis adusta. Its description in RNAcentral is "eukaryotic LSU rRNA". The stretch from base 237 to 390 matches the Rfam family "5.8S ribosomal RNA". The record is from RNAcentral. Lineage: Eukaryota; Fungi; Ascomycota; Sordariomycetes; Amphisphaeriales; Sporocadaceae.
GUAACAAGGUCUCCGUUGGUGAACCAGCGGAGGGAUCAUUAUAGAGUUUUCUAAACUCCCAACCCAUGUGAACUUACCAUUGUUGCCUCGGCAGAAGCUGCUCGGUGCACCUUACCUUGGAACGGCCUACCCUGUAGCGCCUUACCCUGGAACGGCUUACCCUGCAACGGCUGCCGGUGGACUACCAAACUCUUGUUAUUUUAUGGUUAUCUGAGCGUCUUAUUUUAAUAAGUCAAAACUUUCAACAACGGAUCUCUUGGUUCUGGCAUCGAUGAAGAACGCAGCGAAAUGCGAUAAGUAAUGUGAAUUGCAGAAUUCAGUGAAUCAUCGAAUCUUUGAACGCACAUUGCGCCCAUUAGUAUUCUAGUGGGCAUGCCUGUUCGAGCGUCAUUUCAACCCUUAAGCCUAGCUUAGUGUUGGGAGCCUACUGCUUUUGCUAGCUGUAGCUCCUGAAAUACAACGGCGGAUCUGCGAUAUCCUCUGAGCGUAGUAAUUUUUAUCUCGCUUUUGACUGGAGUUGCAGCGUCUUUAGCCGCUAAACCCCCCAAUUUUUAAUGGUUGACCUCGGAUCAGGUAGGAAUACCCGCUGAACUUAAGCAU